CAGGCCCUACACCCAGGGCACCGAUGUGUACCCAGGUCCACAGGUGUGACCCCAAGGUCAGGCCCUACACCCAGGGCUCCGAUGUGUACCCAGGUCCACAGGUGUGACCCCAAGGUCAGGCCCUACACCCAGGGCUCCGAUGUGUACCCAGAUCCACAGGCGUGACCCCAAGGUCAGACCUUACACCCAGGGCUCCGACCCUGCUGCUUGGACCUGACAGCUGUGGGGAUGGCCAGGCAGCUUCUCCUGGACAUCAGGGGA
Apodemus sylvaticus (European woodmouse) is the source of this 261-nucleotide long non-coding RNA. RefSeq lists it as uncharacterized. The transcript is spliced from 3 exons. The record is from RefSeq and is a predicted model, not a curated record. Lineage: Eukaryota; Metazoa; Chordata; Mammalia; Rodentia; Muridae.